AUUGCCCUUAGAGGCACUGCAGGUGUGGUGCUGUGUGUCGGUGGGUGGCAGGGUGGAGAGCCCUGUGUGCCUCAGUGUCCUGCCCUGUGAACACCUGAAUGAUCAGUAGCUUGACACU
Molecule: small nucleolar RNA, 118 nt
Organism: Peromyscus maniculatus bairdii (prairie deer mouse)
Lineage: Eukaryota; Metazoa; Chordata; Mammalia; Rodentia; Cricetidae
Source: Ensembl